UUUUCUCUAUUUGUAUAUGUA
RNAcentral lists this non-coding RNA (21 nucleotides) under Caenorhabditis elegans. The record is from RNAcentral. Lineage: Eukaryota; Metazoa; Nematoda; Chromadorea; Rhabditida; Rhabditidae.